RNAcentral lists this ribosomal RNA (468 nucleotides) under uncultured bacterium. RNAcentral describes it as "partial 16S ribosomal RNA". It matches the Rfam family "Bacterial small subunit ribosomal RNA", at positions 28 to 523 of the family's 1533-position model. The record is from RNAcentral.
GAUGAACGCUGGCGGCGUGCCUAACACAUGCAAGUCGAGCGAUUCUCUUCGGAGAAGAGCGGCGGACGGGUGAGUAACGCGUGGGUAACCUGCCCUGUACACACGGAUAACAUACCGAAAGGUAUGCUAAUACGAGAUAAUAUGCUUUUAUCGCAUGGUAGAAGUAUCAAAGCUUUUGCGGUACAGGAUGGACCCGCGUCUGAUUAGCUAGUUGGUAAGGUAACGGCUUACUAAGGCGACGAUCAGUAGCCGACCUGAGAGGGUGAUCGGCCACAUUGGAACUGAGACACGGUCCAAACUCCUACGGGAGGCAGCAGUGGGGAAUAUUGCACAAUGGGCGAAAGCAUGAUGCAGCAACGCGGCGUGAGCGAUGAAGGCCUUCGGGUCGUAAAGCUCUGUCCUCAAGGAAGAUAAUGACGGUACUUGAGGAGGAAGCCCCGGCUAACUACGUGCCAGCAGCCGCCGUAA